UACGUAGGUGGCAAGCGUUGUCCGGAUUUAUUGGGUUUAAAGGGUGCGUAGGCGGCUUUGUAAGUCAGUGGUGAAAUAUGGCAGCUCGACUGUCAGGGUGCCAUUGAUACUGCGGAGCUUGAGUACAGAUGAGGUAGGCGGAAUUGACGGUGUAGCGGUGAAAUGCUUAGAUAUCGUCAAGAACACCGAUAGCGAAGGCAGCUUACUGGGCUGUAACUGACGCUGAGGCACGAAAGUGUGGGGAUCAAACAGG
RNAcentral lists this ribosomal RNA (253 nucleotides) under uncultured bacterium. RNAcentral describes it as "partial 16S ribosomal RNA". It matches the Rfam family "Bacterial small subunit ribosomal RNA", at positions 524 to 776 of the family's 1533-position model. The record is from RNAcentral.